GUGAAUCAUCGAAUUUUUGAACGCAAAUUGCGCUUCCUAGCAUCCCGGGGAGUAUGCCUGUUUGAGGGUCAGUAUUAAUAAAAAUCGGUGUGUUGCUUCUUUGUGACGCUCCGGUGUUUGGGUCAUCUUAACAUCCUUUAGGUGUUAAGAGGCUUAAAAUUGACUUUUUUUGCGCAUUUUAGAUGUACAUAAAGUCUUUUUUUUAUUCGUCUGUAUUAAUGAUCAAAAUCCUAUUAGAUGCGACCAUAUCGUGUGGUUUCGCGUCUAU
This 268-nucleotide unclassified non-coding RNA is filed under the name Glomeraceae sp. RNAcentral's name for it is "partial contains 5.8S ribosomal RNA and internal transcribed spacer 2". The stretch from base 1 to 71 matches the Rfam family "5.8S ribosomal RNA", at positions 84 to 154 of the family's 154-position model. Lineage: Eukaryota; Fungi; Glomeromycota; Glomeromycetes; Glomerales; Glomeraceae. The record is from RNAcentral.